This 3592-nucleotide long non-coding RNA is filed under the name Homo sapiens (human). RNAcentral's name for it is "LNC_000144". Lineage: Eukaryota; Metazoa; Chordata; Mammalia; Primates; Hominidae. The record is from RNAcentral.
CCGUCUCCAACGAAAUCCUCAGAGAGGUCCAAAUAUCCACCUGCAGAGUCUACAAAAAGUGUGUUUCAAAACUGCUCCACCCAAAGGAAUGUUCAGCUCUGUGAGUUGAAUUCAAUCAUCCCAAAGUAUUUUCUGAGAAGGCUUCUGUCCAGUUUUUACAUGAAGCUGUUUCCUUUACUACCGUAGGCCUCAAAGCGUUCCAAACCUCCACUUGCAGAUACUACGAAAAGAGCGUUUCAACCUGAACUCACAAGGGAAGUUUCAACUCUGUCAGUUGAAUGCCAACAUCACCAAGAACUUCUGAGAAUGUUCCUCUUCAGUUAUGUGAGGUUUAUCCCGUUUCCAACGAAAUUCUCAGAGAAGUCCCAAAAUCCACUGGCAUAUUCCACAAAAGGUGUGUUUGGAAAUUGCGCCAUCAAAAGAUAUGCUCAGCUCUGUGAGUUAAACUCAAUCAUCGCAAAGAAUUUUCUGAGAAUGCUUCCGUCUUGUUUUAGGAUGAAGUUAUUUCCUUUACUACGAUAGGCCUCAAAGAGGUCCAAAUCUCCACUUGCAGAUUCUGCAGAAGGAGUGUUUCAAACCUGAACUAUCAGAGAAAGGUUCAACACUGUGAGUUGAAUGCAAGCAUCACGAAGAAGGUUCUGAGAAUACUUCUGUUUAGAUAGGUGAGUUUUCUCCCGUAUCCAACGAAAUCCUCAGAGAGGUCCAAAUAUCCACUUGCAGAUUCUACAGAAAGUGUGUUUUGAAACUGCUCCAAACAAAGGAGUGUUCAGCUCUGAGAGUUGAACUCAAUCGUCACAAAGUGUUUCCUGGGAAUGCUACUGUCUAGUUUUUAUGUGCAGUUAUAUCCUCUGCUGCCAUAGGCCUCAAAGUGUUCCAAAUCUCCCCUUUCAGAUUCUACCAGAAGUGUGUUUCCAAACGGCUCUAUCAAAGGGAAUGUUCAACACUGUGACUUGAAUGCAAUCAUCACAAAGCAGUUUCUGAGAAUGCUUCCAUGUAGCUUUUAUGAGAAGAUAUUUCCUUUUCCACCCCAGGUCUCGAAGCCCUCCAAAUGUCUCCUUGCAGAUGCUAGAAAGAGAGGGUUUCAAAGCUGCUCUAUCAAAAGUAAAGUACAACUCUGUGAGUUGAAUGCAAACAUCACAAAGAAGUUCCUGAGCAUGCUUCCGUUUAGCUUUCAUGGGAAGAUAAUCCCUAUUCCAUCGAAAUGUUCAAAGAGGUCCGCAUAUCCACUUGCAGAUUCCACCGAAAGAGUGUUUCCAAACUGCUGUAUCAAAAGGAAUCUUAAACUCCGUGAGUUGAAUGCAAUCAUCACAAAGAAGUUUCUGACAAUGCUGCUCUCUAGUUUUUAUGUGAAGAUAUUAUCUUUUCCACCACAGGCCAGAAAGCGCUCCAAAUGUCCACUUGGAGACACUACGAAAAGAAUGUUUCAAAACUGCUCUAUGAAAAGCAAUGUUAUACUCUGGGAGUUGAACACAAGCCUCACAAAGGAGUUUCUGAGAAUGCUUCUGUUUACUUUUUACGUGAAGAUAUUCCCGUUUCCAAAGAAAUCUUCACAGAGUUCCACCUAUCCAUUUGCAGAUGCUAGAAAAAGAGAGUUUCAAAACUGCUCUAUCAAAAGGAAUGUUCAACUCUGUGAGUUGAAUGCAAUCAUCGCAGAGAAGUUUCUGAGAAGGCUUCUGUCUAGAUUUUUUGUGAAGAUAUACCCGUUUCGAACGAAGGCCACAAAGUGCUCCAAAUAUCCACUUGCAGGUCCUCCAACAAGAGUGUUUCAAACGUGAACUAUCAAAGGAAGGUUCAACUCUGGACUUUGAAUGCAAACGUCAGAAAGAUGUUUCUGCGAAAGCUUCUGUUUAGUUAGGUGACGUUAUCCCGUUUCCAACGAAAUCCUCAGAGAGGUCCAAAUAUCCACCUGCAGAUUCUCCAAAAAGUGUGUUUCCAAACUGCUCCACCCAAAGGAAUGUUCAGCUCUGUGAGUUAAACUCAAUCAACACAAAGUAUUUUCUGAGAAUGCUUCUGUCCAGUUUUUACAUGAAGCUGUUUCCUUUACUACCGUAGGCCUCAAAGCGUUCCAAACCUCCACUUGCAGAUACUACGAAAAGAGCGUUUCAACCUGAACUCACAAGGGAAGGUUGAACUCUGUCAGUUGAAUGCCAACAUCACCAAGAAGUUCUGAGAAUGUUCCUCUUCAGUUAUGUGAGAUUUAUCCCGUUUCCAACGAAAUUCUCAGAGAAGUCCCAAAAUCCACUUGCAUAUUCCACAAAGGUGUGUUUUGAAAAUGCGCCUUCAAAAGAUAUGCUCAGCUCUGUGAGUUAAACUCAAUCAUCGCAAAGAAUUUUCUGAGAAUGCUUCCGUCUUGUUUUUAGAUGAAGUUCUUUCCUUUACUACGAUAGGCCUCAAGGAGGUCCAAAUCUCCACUUGCAGAUUCUGCAGAAGGAGUGUUUCAAACCUGAACUGUCAGAGAAAGUUUCAACACUGUGAGUUGAAUGCAAGCAUCACGAAGAAGGUUCUGAGAAUGCUUCUGUUUACGUAGGUGACUUUUCUCCCGUAUCCAACGAAAUCCUCAGAGCAGUCCAAAUCUCCACUUGCAGAUUCUACACAAAGUGAGUUUGGAAACUGCUCCACCCAAAGGAAUGUUCAGCUCUGUGAGUUGAACUGAAUCGUCACAAAGCGUUUCCUGGGAAUGCUCCUGUCUCGCUUUCAUGUGCAGUUAUAUCAUCUACUGCCAUAGGCCUCAAAGCGGUCCAAAUCUCCCCUUUCAGAUUCUACCAAAAGUGUGUUUCAAAACGGCCCCAUCAAAGGGGAUGUUCAACUCGGUGACUUGAAUGCAAUCAUCACAAAGCAGCUUCUGAGAAUGCUUCCAUGUAGGUUUGAUGAGAAGAUACUUCCUUUUCCACCCGAGGCCUCGAAGCCCUCCAAAUGUCCCCUUGCAGAUGCUAGAAAGAGGGGGUUUCAAAGCUGCUCUAUCAAAAGGAAAGUACAACUCUGUGAGGUGAAUGCAAACAUCACAAGGAAGUUCCUGAGCAUGCUUCCGUUUAGCUUUUACGGGAAGAUUAUCCCUUUUCCAUCGAAAUGUUCAAAGAGGUCCACAUAUCCGCUUGCAGAUUCCACUGAAAGAGUGUUUCCAAACUGCUGCAUCAAAAGGAAUCCUCAGCUCCGUGAGUUGAAUGCAAUCAUCACCAAGAAGUUUCUGACAAUGCUUCUCUCUAGUUUUUAUGUGAAGAUAUUUCCUUUUCCACUGCAGGCCUGAAAGCGCUCCAAAUGUCCACUUGGAGGCUCUACGAAAAGAAUGUUUCAAAACUGCUCUACGAAAAGCAAUGUUAUACUCUGGGAGUUGAACACAAGCCUCACAAAGGAGUUUCUGAGAAUGCUUCUGUUUACUUUUUACGUGAGGAUAUUCCCGUUUCCAAAGAAGUCUUCACAGAGUUCCACCUACCCAUUUGCAGUUGCUAGGAAAAGAGAGUCUCAAAACUGCUCCAUCAAAAGGAAUGUUCAACUCUGUGAGUUGCAUGCAAUCAUCACAGAGAAGUUUCUGAGAAGGCUUCUGUCUAGAUUUUAUUUGAAGAUAUGGCCGUUUCGAACGAAGGCCACAAAGUGC